Molecule: non-coding RNA, 199 nt
Filed under: Brassica napus (rape)
Lineage: Eukaryota; Viridiplantae; Streptophyta; Magnoliopsida; Brassicales; Brassicaceae
Description: Eukaryotic large subunit ribosomal RNA
Rfam family: Eukaryotic large subunit ribosomal RNA
Source: Rfam by way of RNAcentral
GAUCCGUAACUUCGGGAAAAGGAUUGGCUCUGAGGGCUGGGCUCGGGGGUCCCAGUUCCGAACCCGUCGACUGUUGGCGGGCUGCUUGAGCUGCUAACGUGGCGAGAGCGGACCGCCUCGUGUCGGCCGGGGGACGGACUGGGAACGGCUCUUUCGGGAGCUUUCCCCGGGCGUCGAACAGCCAACUCAGAACUGGUAC